CCUACGGGAGGCAGCAGUGAGGAAUAUUGGUCAAUGGACGAGAGUCUGAACCAGCCAAGUAGCGUGAAGGAUGACUGCCCUAUGGGUUGUAAACUUCUUUUAUAUGGGAAUAAAACGUUCCACGUGUGGGAUUUUGUAUGUACCAUAUGAAUAAGGAUCGGCUAACUCCGUGCCAGCAGCCGCGGUAAUACGGAGGAUGCGAGCGUUAUCCGGAUUUAUUGGGUUUAAAGGGAGCGUAGGUGGAUUGUUAAGUCAGUUGUGAAAGUUUGCGGCUCAACCGUAAAAUUGCAGUUGAAACUGGCAGUCUUGAGUACAGUAGAGGUGGGCGGAAUGCGUGGUGUAGCGGUGAAAUGCGUAGAUAUCACGAAGAACUCCGAUUGCGAAGGCAGUUCACUGGACUGCAACUGACACUGAGGCUCGAAAGUGUGGGUAUCAAACAGGAUUAGAUACCCGGGUAGUC
RNAcentral lists this ribosomal RNA (460 nucleotides) under uncultured bacterium. RNAcentral describes it as "partial 16S ribosomal RNA". It matches the Rfam family "Bacterial small subunit ribosomal RNA", at positions 338 to 795 of the family's 1533-position model. The record is from RNAcentral.